This is a long non-coding RNA of Symphalangus syndactylus (siamang), 1718 nucleotides long. RefSeq lists it as uncharacterized. The record is from RefSeq and is a predicted model, not a curated record. NCBI's taxonomy places the organism in Eukaryota, Metazoa, Chordata, Mammalia, Primates, Hylobatidae.
CUCACCCUUGACAGGUGUGGGACCCAGGCUGGUAGCAUGAGCUGAGUACAGCCUGCCAGGCCGAGUGGGCAAAACAGGCCCAGUGGGCCCAGGCAAAACUCAGAUGAAGGUGCAACUGGCCACAGAAGUUUCCAGCCAGAAAAACAACACCCCAAGGAUCCUGUAACAGUAGGUGGUUUUUGUAUUGCAUCAGGAAGCAGACAUUGCCAAGCAAGAGAAGACAACUCCUUCUUAGCCUUUUGUUUGCAAUAACCUUGGCUCAGUGAGAGUUAUGUAGAAAGUAAAAGGCUGAUUGGAGUUUGGCUUCUUAUUUCUCUCUGGACAACUGUGGCGGAGAAUACAACCAUCCUAUGCAUAACAGCCUCUUUCUAGCUGAACAAGCAGCCUGCACUACCAUUCCAUUAUGAGAAGACCUAGGUAGCCUGGGUGUUCAUCCAGCAGCAGUCUGUGGGUCACUACAUGCGGUGAGCACACAUGUACCAGGUAGGCUGUACUGGAUGCCGAGGUUCCAUAAUCUCUGCCGUUGAGGAGCUCAGUGUCUAGCAGGAGAACCAGAAAGGAAUGUGGAUUUUCAUGAGUGGAGGAGUGUUUGGCAGUAUAAAGAUCUUUGGAUAAUCUGGAGAGUGGAGAAACCUGUUUGGGGCACCAGAAGCCUGGGAAUUAAGGCAGAACACUGGGGAACUCGUCUCUCUCCCUCUCUCUCUGUGUGUGUGUGUGUGUAUGACGAUGAGGGGGCAAAUUGCCAAGAGUUGUAAGAGUGGCAAAACAAAGUGGAUCAUACAGAUCCAAAGAGAAAUUUGGUUCCUACUCUCUCUUAGCUAGGGUUUUCCAUGUCCUCAAUUGUCCUUCGUAUCUUUAUUUAAGAAAGAAUUAAAACUGUACAGCUCAAGGAGUGUCCAGACUCCCAAAUCCACAACUACUGAGUAGCCUGCCUUCCUCAUUCUAGGUCCAUCUGAAAUCUCCUGGUUUUCCCAGUAUACUGACCUGAUCUUCAGAAAGAGGAACUGUGUGCACCGGGAUGGGCUGCCAGAGUAGGGUAGGAUUCCAGAUGCUGACACCCUCUGGGGGAAACAGGGCUGCCAGGUUUGUCAUAGCACUCAUCAAAGUCCGGUCAAUGUCUGUGCUUCGAAUAUAAACCUAGAGUAGGAAAAUCAAAGCAGAAGCGAACAUAAAGGGAACAUGAGGUUUUUUUCUACAGAGCUGCCAAGGUAUUAGAGAAAGGACAGGACACCCACAGUGAAAUACUACAGACAUUGUGCUAACAUCAGAAUCAUAAUACUUGUUAAGGAAUGAGCAAUAUUAUGAUCAUGGUACAAAGCAACCUGGUUGGCCAAUAGUUGAAUUGACAAAUGAGAUCAAUUAAGCAGUGGCUACUUGUCAAGCCAAAGUAUUUAUUCAGGUGUUCAUAAAAUCUUGAAAUUACUCAUAUUCACAAAUUUUUUGGAAUAAAAAGUUACAUAAAGAGGAAUAUAUUUGUAAACAAGAUCUCUGACUUGUAUAAGUUCCUCGGAAAACAGGCAAAGCACUUUUAUAUAUGCAGAAUUAUUUUAAUUAUUUCAAAGAUCAAAGUUCCCACUCUUGGCUCCCCAACUUGCCUGUUCAUGUUUAUAGGACUCAUUCAAGAAUUUUCUAUAUCUUUUUCUUAUAUACUCUCCAAGUUCAUAAUGCUGCUCCAUGCCCAGCUAUGGGAAAAAAAUAAAAGCAAAAAUUAAUGAAAG